RNAcentral lists this ribosomal RNA (482 nucleotides) under Jeotgalibacillus sp. HSS-7025. RNAcentral describes it as "bacterial SSU rRNA". It matches the Rfam family "Bacterial small subunit ribosomal RNA", at positions 1 to 480 of the family's 1533-position model. Lineage: Bacteria; Bacillati; Bacillota; Bacilli; Caryophanales; Caryophanaceae. The record is from RNAcentral.
UAGAGUUUGAUCCCUGGCUCAGGAUGAACGCUGGCGGCGUGCCUAAUACAUGCAAGUCGAGCGAACUGAUUAGAAGCUUGCUUCUAUGACGUUAGCGGCGGACGGGUGAGUAACACGUGGGCAACCUGCCUGUAAGACUGGGAUAACUUCGGGAAACCGAAGCUAAUACCGGAUAGGAUCUUCUCCUUCAUGGGAGAUGAUUGAAAGAUGGUUUCGGCUAUCACUUACAGAUGGGCCCGCGGUGCAUUAGCUAGUUGGUGAGGUAACGGCUCACCAAGGCAACGAUGCAUAGCCGACCUGAGAGGGUGAUCGGCCACACUGGGACUGAGACACGGCCCAGACUCCUACGGGAGGCAGCAGUAGGGAAUCUUCCGCAAUGGACGAAAGUCUGACGGAGCAACGCCGCGUGAGUGAUGAAGGCUUUCGGGUCGUAAAACUCUGUUGUUAGGGAAGAACAAGUACGAGAGUAACUGCUCGUACCU